GACCAAGAGUAAAAAAAAGAGGGAAAGAAGAAAAGCAAAAGACAAAAACUUUAACAAAAACAUGUUUUUAGUCGUUUUUGCUCUUUAACAUCAUCGUUCAAACAUCUUAACUUCCUCCUCUGAGAUUUUGAUUUGGUGAAGGAGGUUUUUAUUUGAACAUUGCACAGCUAGUUAAUGCUACAACACUUUUCGUUUAACACUGUGAAGCAGACAACCUUGCCUGUUGGCCGCUGUUGAUUAAUGACCUCAUAUUUUGUUAAUUAGACAGUCAGCCCUGAGGCAGAAAGAUUUAAUUUCCCCUUCAUCAUCAUUGCUGAGGAAAAAAAAAUCUACUGAUUGAAGAGGGGCAGAGGACCGAAGGAAAGAGGAAAGGAAAGGACAAGAAAGGAGACGUUAAAGAAGGGACUGUAGAAGAUGAAAACUUGUAAAGAGGCAAACAGGAAAAGAAAAGGAAACCUGGACCUUACCUUGAGUUUGCCUGAGUUCAUUAAAAAACCACCAGGAGUCCGAGCUCUAUCAGUCAUCACUCAAGGCCAGUUAGGAUCACCUCUGACUCAAACAACAGAGCCUUCAGCUGAUCAUCUGAGCCCAUCAUCUCAGCCUUGGGGUAACCAUGUGUGAGCUGGCUGCCUCUGGCUCCGCCAUACCAAGAAGUUGGCUUCAACAUAGAGAGACGUCACUUGUCCCUAACAGCUAGCCAAACCUAUCGACCUGCAGUGAUAUGUGGCUCAUACUGGGAAUAUCGCUGAUAGGAACAGCAUGCUGGUCACUAGUAGCUAUGUGAUUCAUUGACCUAGCAGUGAUGCACAGCUUGUGUUAAUAAAAUGGCUGGGAGACACAUGGAUAACAAAAGCCAGAAUACCAUCUGAUUCAA
Molecule: long non-coding RNA, 874 nt
Organism: Girardinichthys multiradiatus
Lineage: Eukaryota; Metazoa; Chordata; Actinopteri; Cyprinodontiformes; Goodeidae
Exons: 3
Source: RefSeq, a predicted model, not a curated record